This 514-nucleotide ribosomal RNA is filed under the name uncultured Yokenella sp. Its description in RNAcentral is "bacterial SSU rRNA". It matches the Rfam family "Bacterial small subunit ribosomal RNA", at positions 505 to 1015 of the family's 1533-position model. Lineage: Bacteria; Pseudomonadati; Pseudomonadota; Gammaproteobacteria; Enterobacterales; Enterobacteriaceae. The record is from RNAcentral.
GUGCCAGCCGCUGACGGUAAAUAACGGAAGGGUGCAAGCGUUAAUCGGAAUUACUGGGCGUAAAGCGCACGCAGGCGGUCUGACAAGUCGGAUGUGAAAUCCCCGGGCUCAACCCGGGAACUGCAUUCGAAACUGUCAGGCUGGAGUCUUGUAGAGGGGGGUAGAAUUCCAGGUGUAGCGGUGAAAUGCGUAGAGAUCUGGAGGAAUACCGGUGGCGAAGGCGGCCCCCUGGACAAAGACUGACGCUCAGGUGCGAAAGCGUGGGGAGCAAACAGGAUUAGAUACCCUGGUAGUCCACGCUGUAAACGAUGUCGACUUGGAGGUUGUGCCCUUGAGCGUGGCUUCCGGAGCUAACGCGUUAAAUAGACCGCCUGGGGAGUACGGCCGCAAGGUUAAAACUCAAAUGAAUUGACGGGGGCCCGCACCAAGCGGUGGAGCAUGUGGUUUAAUCGAUGCAACGCGAAGAACCUUACCUACUCUUGACAUCCACGGAACUUAGCAGAGAUGCUUUGGU